CUUGAUGUAACAUGUGGGCCGGCCUGCUGAUGUGCUGCAUUCCUUUUGAUUGAAUCCAUGGUUUGGGAACAAGAAACCCUUAGAAAAAUAAUUUUUGUGGGGGGUGGAGGGUUUUAAAGAAUAAUUUUAGGUUGAAUCAUAUUUCAUUUAACAAAGUUAUUUGUUUGUCUUUUAAUUGUUCAGUCUUUCUGCAGAGCGACCCGAUCAUGGCAUCAACAUUUAAUCCCCAGUGGCGCAUGUGCUCUGAUCGCAUUAAUUCAACACGGAAUUAGCAAAGGAAGAUGCUACGUCGAAUCCUAUCAGAUCAUGAUUGAAACCCGAAUCACUACGGCAUACAUGUGACAGGCCAUAUGCCUCCGCCGCUUAGCACAGUAUGCUAUCCCGGUGGUUCUCCCGCAUUAACGUGCUGUGGUUGGGGGCCACGCAAUGAAUGCCGACUUCCCCUCCCUGUGAUGGUAAAACGUGUGUCCGUAUCCCAGCGAAUG
RNAcentral lists this long non-coding RNA (485 nucleotides) under Musa acuminata (dwarf banana). Its description in RNAcentral is "long non-coding RNA (MACU_LNC007398)". Lineage: Eukaryota; Viridiplantae; Streptophyta; Magnoliopsida; Zingiberales; Musaceae. The record is from RNAcentral.